Long non-coding RNA from Cyanistes caeruleus (blue tit), 5597 nucleotides. RefSeq lists it as uncharacterized. Lineage: Eukaryota; Metazoa; Chordata; Aves; Passeriformes; Paridae. The record is from RefSeq and is a predicted model, not a curated record.
GAGCGCUGCGGGAGAGCCCGGUGAUGUCCCGGCUUCGUCCCCUUGCAACCCGCCACCCCUCGGUCUUACCAUCCUUCCCUCCCUCUGCUGCCCUGCUCAUCCACAGAACGAGCCCUGACCUGCCACGCAGGAAUGAUGCAGGAUGCAGCAGGGAACAUACCAAAAGAAUAGUGAAAAUAGUAAAAAGUGACUAAUGGAAACCAGAGGCCACAUUACCCCUGUGGUACUGCCAGACGUGCUGGAGCAGAGUGCAGCACAGAAAAAAGUCUAGCAGGAAACAUCCAACCAGACUUCACCAGAGAAACCAUAAACAAAAGACUAUAAAGGCCUCAGCUGAAAUGAGUUCUUGCCAGCUGAGAUUCUUGUGAAGACACACGUGUCACCAAGGACUCCAACACCAAACUGUAGCCAAGAGACAUCUGAAAGUUAGGAGUAAGAGCCAGAGACUGACUUUCAGGUAAAUCAGGCUAUUGGUGAUAACACUGCUAAAAAACAAAUUAAUACAACUACCUUUGAAAUUAUGGGAGCAGGUGACUAAAAAUUAUAAAGCAAACACUGUUCCUACUUGGAGAAAAUCUCUGUUGGAGGCUGAUUUGCCUCAGUUCCACUGCUGGCUCUGUCAGGGCUCUGCUUGGAGCUCUGUGUAGGAGAGAUCUGUAAAUAUCUCUGAACAGAGAUUUAGUCUGGGCUUUGCUGCUGCAGUGGUUGAAAUUUAACAUUAUCUGAGGGUACACACAGCCAGGGAAGGGCUGCCAGACCCUCUUCCUCUGUUGCCUGAAAGGGCAUGUAUGAAACUGUCUGUCAGCUGCAGCAGAGUGGUUUGGGGACAAAUUUAAGUUGUGAAAGGGCUGUGGCUAAAAAGAAAAUUAUCAGCUUAUAAACCAGAAUAUGUGUAAUCACCUCUUUCAUAAGUGAAUUUACUGAACUCAUACACAGCAAAGGCCUCAUUAUUGAGCAUUUCUCUCCCAACAUUACAGUACAAGUAAGUUUUGUGUUUAAAAUACUCACUUUAGGAUUUUAAAGCCAGAGAGUAGCAAUAGUGCUGCACCGAAAUCUUUAAGGCAUUCGAAAUGAGAUUAUACUCAGCUUGCUCACAGAAAUGAGAAUAGCUCUUGUUUUUCUUUCAGAAGUUGUAAACUGGUGCCAGACUCUAUGUAUGUGUGAUGCUUUUGAGAAUUCAGGAUGGACACUCAGGAUUUAACAUCCAUUUUUCAUUAAUCCAAACAUAGCACACUCCAUUUAAAUGCUGCCUUUUCUUCUGCAGAAAAGAAGAUGUCCACAUUGCACUUAUUAAACUUUAAUUAAACUAUAUGUCUAGGAAAAGAAUCCUUCUACUGUAAGCAAUAUGUGGGCCAGCUAUAUUGAAGUAUUUAAAGUUUUGGUAAGAUGUUUGCAUUUUAAUCUGUUUUUGGGGCCCUGUCUGCAACCUGAAUUUCAAUCCCAUUGCCUUGAUAACAGGGUUUUCUCCAGGUUGUGUGUUCUUAAAGUGAUAAUAUAUAAAGUGAAGACAAUUAAAGGGCAAAUCUUGUAGUCUGAAUAACAGUUUUUCAUUUGAAUGUAAUAAAUCAUAAUGCACAGUACUCAUUAGAAAGUUGUUUGUUAGUUUGUUUAGUCUUAGCACCAUCUUUUUCAGGGUAAGAUGUUGGCUUAGCAGAUCCCAGAUCCAUGCAGCACAGCUCUUCCAUGAAGUAACUUCUCCAGGAGCACAGUAGUUAUUCCUAGAACUUGAACCACCUCUCUCAGGCAUUCUGCACCACAGAAUCUCUGAGGGGGGCAAGGAGACUUUGAGCCAUUAUUUUUACUUCAGCUCUGUGCCUGAAAUGGCUCAGAACCCAGAGAGAAGAACUAAUGGGAGCACGGUGUGCCCUCCCUUAGCACCUAAGAGCAGCACUUCCUCUGUUUGAUGGAGUAAAUAAAGGAAUAGGCUGUAGCUUCUCACACUGGGAAUAUUAAUUCUAUAUAAAGAAUUCAUUUUGGCCUUUCCAUUAAGCCAGAAGAGACAGAAUUUCCCCCCUCACUUCAGAAGAAUGCUGUGCUGUUGUCAAUGUUGAGGCAGAUUAUUAGGAAGAUUUGCAAGAAUAACUACUUAAAAUGGUCACAUUCAUUUUAAAGAAAAGAAAUAUAAUUGGUAUUUGCAUAGAAGAAAAUGGAUGAAUUUAAAUUUUAGUUGAUUAUAAUUAUUGUCAUCAUAAUCAUCAUCAUUAUCUUUGUAUGUCUAAAUGACUGAUUCAAAGAAGAAUUUUUAACACAUUUCACAUGUCAGUGCAAUUCUUUUCUGUUUUGUGCUUUAGUGCUUGGGGUUUUUCAUUUGCUUUUUUCAGUCUGAACUUUUCAUGGAAGCUAUUGUAAUUUUCUUAAAAGGUGGAAAAAUGUUUCAAAAGAAGUCAGAUCUAGAAGUACUACAUACAUCCUUCUUUGCUUCCAAUAAAAUGUAGUCAAAUUGUACAGAAAAACAGGUACAUAAAUACUGUGGGAUGGCACUUUAAAAUAUUCCAAAGAAAGAGAUUUUAAAUAGUGAGGUGCUACCUAAAUGUGGCAUUUUGAGCCAGACAAGGGAUGUUAAACAGCAAUAGUUGCACACAAAUCAGUAGAUGAACUAAUUUAAGUGGUAGUGCCUCCAGGUGAGGGUAGCAUUCAAAAAGUCCAUUAAUGAAUUGGGACUGUAUGUAGACACUGAGCUCCUAAAGAUUUCCAAAGUUCCUAAUAAUUGUUUGUAUUUCAGCACUAUGGAUACUGAUCCAUCUGGGAUUUAAUUCUGUAUUCCCUGGUAAUGUUGCUACAGUAAACUGUGUGUCUAUUCAACUAGUAAAUCUAUAUUGUGUGAGUUUGUCAGUAUUGGCAGUUAUGAACAGUUGAGAUCCACAAUAUUUGUUGGUGAAAGCAGUUUCCUUUUUCCAGAGUUUAUAUCACAUCAAACCAGAGAUGAUCAAUCAAGACUACAAAGGCUGUAUACUGUGCAUAGCAAAAUAAAAGUUUCAUAAUUCCCAUUUCCCUGAUGACUUCGAAAUGACUAUGAAUAGCAUUUUGCAACAGAGGAUCAUCAGAGCUGGUGUGAUAGCUGCAAUUCCUGAUACCUGGCAUCUGUGAAAAACAGGGCUUGAUCCUCCAGAACUUAAUCUUUCAUUUUAUUUUGUUCCUUUAGUCUUCCAUGAGGGCCAGUGAACCAAGUGUUAAAAUCCUGUUUCUGAACAGAGUUACUGUGACUUGUGGAAACAAUUGCUCUCUGAAGCCUUGCAGAUGGCAGUUUCCUGAUAGCCUCUUUUCAGAUGGCUUCCUGCAUGACCAGGAAUUCCCUAAAUAGGAAUUGGGAAGAUGGAUUCCAUGGGAGGCAUUACUUGUCUUUGUUCAAUUAAGUUAUGGUGUCUUUCCUGUUUUCUUGGGAUGAACAGAAUCACGUUCAUGCCACUACACAGAAAGAUACCUUAAAAAACACAUUUGGAGCUGUGAAAAAUCACAGAUGAGCUGCCUCUGCCCAAGAGAUGGACUGAAAAGAGCCUGUUGGAAGGAUUUCCCUGAGUGGCUGCUUGUAAUAUUUUGGCAUUUAGGAAAAAAAAAUGGAGGAAUUGUCAGAUGGACUGAUGACUGAUGAGCUGCAGCACAGCCAUGGAAAUCCUCUGGCCAAAAGACAGACUUUCAAGUUUCCUCACUAUGUCCAGGAAUUGGAAUUUUUAACAUGAAUUUUGUAUGGAAAAGAAUUGCACUGAAAGAUGCUGGAUUCAAAUAAGUUUCAAUUAAUGGAAAAUAUCAGCAAACCCAGGAUUCCUGGCUAAUUUCAUGCACUGAAGUGAUCACAGUGUGUUCAAUCAACAUUGAUUAUUAAAAUAGCAAAGAAAAUUGGUGUCUGAAGUCCUAUCACUCUAAGGAAAACCUUUUUAUUUUCAUAUUGAUCAUAUAAAAUAAACCACUGUCUAAAACAGAACACUCAGUUCCAUUUUUAAAAUUGAAACUAUAUCGUAUAUUUACAUUUUAGGGAAAAAUAUUUACACUGCAAAGUCUCUAUUAAACCUUGCUUUAUUCUAUAUUCAUAGACCUUGUGGGGAAAAAUAGGGAAGAUCUUGUCAUAUUUAAAAUCAUAAUGGAAUCUAAUUGUAAGACAUCCAUUUAGAAAAAAUUUGGAAGAAAUACUUUCAGUUUACGGUGCUCCUCAAUGCAAAAUACUCUAAAAUUCAUAAUACUAAUGAAAGAUAUCAGUGAUGGUUUCCCAGGGUACUAACAGGUUUUAACAUUAUAAAUAUGGGCAAGGAGAAUUUAAAAAAAAACUCCAGGAUGGUUAUGCAUUAAAUAAUUAUGAUCACAGGUGUUCCAACCUGUACCUUCAAUUCAUGGCCUGAUCAUCCUUAUGCCUCCACAAGUCACUGGUAAUUCCAUCAGAAAGGCAAUGAAGUUAAAGUAUAUAAAACCAGGUUUAUGUAGGAUUACAUAUAUUUUUCUGGGUUAUCAAUAUUUGUCACAUCAACCUUGAUGUGAAAGUAAGAAAGAGGAAAAAUAGGUAGAUACAGUCAAUAAUGUCUCCUGAAGAUGAAGAAAGGCGCUGCUUCUUUCAUUUGACUUUAUCCAAAAGCUCAGAGGACAUACUGAGACACAGAGAUUGGUCAAGUUAAAAACAAAACCUGCUCUUAAAUAUUUGAUUCUGAUCUCAGUCUGAGUUGCUUUGACUGAGAUUCAGACAGACUCAAUUCUACUGUGGAUUCAGCCUACCCAGCUCAGGCUUUGUGACAGGUAAAAUUGCAGAAUGAGUUCUCAGUGAGACCUUUCCCUCCACUUCCUAUAAAGAACUAUGGAGUAUCCUGGAGCUAAUUUUGUUCAAUACUUACUUUUAUUAAAAAAAAAUAAAAUUAGGUUCAUAGUAUUUUCUUCAGCUUCCACCAGAGCUGUGAGAAGAGUGACCCAAGAGUUGGCAGAGUGGCAAGAAGGCCUCAGGACCAGGCUCACUCCUCAGGGAGUUGAAAAAUGGAUGAGAAUUCAGAGGCUUUUGCAAGGUAACAUAAUGAACAGCAGCACAAAGCUAAGAUACAUCACAUUAGUGUGGCUUCCAAGAAAGAUUACAGACCCAAUAGUCCAGAUACUUCCAUGUAAGAACAUCACAGCCAAAAAAGGCUUAAUCUGACCUUUUAAUGAGCACUUAGCAGGGAAUUCCUUUGUAUAUACAGAGGCCUGAGACAGAAAAAUGGAUACAGAAAUGCAUGUGGAUGCCUGGUUCUUCUGUAGAGCUUUAAUUGUUUUGCAUGUUAGAAUCUUCCCAACUGUAUCAGGAAGAAGGGAUCUGCUCUUACUUUUUCUAGAAAGCUAGACAGGAUUUUCUGAAAUCCUAAAGAAGCAAAAUCCACUCCAGUCCUUGUUACUUGCUGCCAUUAAGGGUUGAAACGCAGCAUUUGCCAAGAGUGCAAGUUCCUUUAUUUGAUCCCCUUGACUGUACCAGUAUAACUGCCAAUCACAGGAAAUACCUCUAAUAACUCUUCCUUUUACUUAAUAAGGAAUACCACAUCUUUAAAACAUUAGAAACAGAUGUCACUGCAUUACUUCACUGCUGAUGUAUGUAAUAGAAAUGACACACUAAUUAAUUUAAUGCAGUAUAAAUGUACUGAUUAUUUAUCAUG